AACCCAUGAUGAAGACACUUUCUCAAAAGAUCCUUAUACCUCUCCCAUGCAUCAUAUAAUGCCUCCAACUCAAUUUGAGAAAAAAAGAAGAUAUUUCAUUCCUCAAUU
This 108-nucleotide small nucleolar RNA is filed under the name Gossypium hirsutum (cotton). RNAcentral describes it as "Plant small nucleolar RNA R71". It matches the Rfam family "Plant small nucleolar RNA R71". From Rfam's summary of the family: R71 is a member of the C/D box family of snoRNAs containing the C (UGAUGA) and D (CUGA) box motifs. The record is from Rfam by way of RNAcentral. Lineage: Eukaryota; Viridiplantae; Streptophyta; Magnoliopsida; Malvales; Malvaceae.